Molecule: small nuclear RNA, 114 nt
Filed under: Phascolarctos cinereus (koala)
Lineage: Eukaryota; Metazoa; Chordata; Mammalia; Diprotodontia; Phascolarctidae
Source: RNAcentral
GUGCUUGCUUCGGCAGCACAUAUACUAAAAUUGGAACGAUACAGAGAAGAUUAGCAUGGCCCUUGCGCAAAGAUGACACACAAAUUCGUGAAGGAAGUGCUUAUAAAGGAUUUU